This 403-nucleotide ribosomal RNA is filed under the name uncultured bacterium. RNAcentral describes it as "partial 16S ribosomal RNA". It matches the Rfam family "Bacterial small subunit ribosomal RNA", at positions 29 to 526 of the family's 1533-position model. The record is from RNAcentral.
AUUGAACGCUGGCGGCAGGCCUAACACAUGCAAGUCGCGCGAGCGGCGGACGGGUGAGUCAUGUAUGGGGACUGCCCGAUAGAGGGGGAUUACUACUGGAAACGGUGGCUAAUACCGCCUACUGUCGGAUAACCCAUAUGGGAUUAGCUAGUAGGUAAGGUAAUGGCUUACCUAGGCGACGAUCCCUAGCUGGUCUGAGAGGAUGAGCAGCAACAAUGGGACUGAGACAAGGCCCAGAGGCCGACGGAGGCAGCAGUGGGGAAUAUUGCACAAUGGGGGCAAGCCGGAAGCAGCCAUGCAGCGAGUAUGAAGAAGGCCAUAGGGUUGGAAAGUAAUUUCAGUCGGGAGGCGUUACCGACAGAAGAAGCACCGGCUAACUCCGUGCCAGCAGCCGCGGUAAUAC